This 286-nucleotide ribosomal RNA is filed under the name uncultured eukaryote. RNAcentral describes it as "partial small subunit ribosomal RNA". It matches the Rfam family "Eukaryotic small subunit ribosomal RNA", at positions 587 to 887 of the family's 1831-position model. The record is from RNAcentral.
AGCUCCGAUAGCGUAUAUUAAAGUUGUUGCAGUUAAAAGCUCGUAGUUGAACUUCUGCAAGUUGAGGAUCCGUCCAUUUUGGUUCGUUUCCUUCUUGCAUCCCAUCAGAUUUAACAUCACGGUCUUUGUUGGUCGGUUGUAAAAUCUAUGAAUUUACUUUGAAAAAUUAGAGUGUUUCAAGCAGGCGAUUUGCUGGAAUACAUUAGCAUGGAAUAAUAGAACAGGACCUUUAUGUCAUUUUAUUGGUACUAUGACAAUAGGUAAUGAUUAACAGGGACAGUUGGGG